Molecule: ribosomal RNA, 301 nt
Filed under: uncultured bacterium
Lineage: Bacteria
Description: partial 16S ribosomal RNA
Rfam family: Bacterial small subunit ribosomal RNA
Source: RNAcentral
CAGCCGCCGCGGUAAUACGUAGGUCCCGAGCGUUGUCCGGAUUUAUUGGGCGUAAAGCGUGCGCAGGCGGUUAUAUAAGUCAGAUGUGAAAUCCCCGGGCUUAACCUGGGAACUGCAUUUGUGACUGGCGGGCUAGAGUAUGGCAGAGGGGGGUAGAAUUCCACGUGUAGCAGUGAAAUGCGUAGAGAUGUGGAGGAACACCAGUGGCGAAGGCGACUCUCUGGUCUGUAACUGACGCUGAGGAGCGAAAGCGUGGGGAGCGAACAGGAUUAGAGACCCGCGUAGUCCCUGUCUCUUAUAC